AGAAAUUAGAGAGAGAGAGAGAGACCGAGAAAAACGAGAGGGAGCGAAGAAGAAGAAGAAGUUAAUCGAAGGGCAUUUUCCUUGCAUGCAACCGGCGAUCUUGAUCAAGGAUUCAAUAUCUGCACGAGCAUGCCAAGAGAGCAAGAAAAGAAGAAAUCUAGAAAAGGUAAAUAGGAAGAAAGGACUUCAGGUAGUAACUCUUUCUCUCAUAUGCUUAUGCAAUAGUUCUGCAUAUCUGUUUGUGUCAUAGUGCCUAUAUUCUUUAAUGAAUAUAUGGUGGUUUUGAUUAUGGGAGCUAUGUGCUUGAUUAUGAAUGGUGGUUUGAUUACGGGAGUUGUGUGUUCGAUGAAUGGUGGUUUUGAUUAUGGGAGCUGUGUGCUUGAUUACAAAUGGUGGUUUCGAUUACAGGAGCUGGGUGCUCUAUUAUGAAAGGUGGUUUUCAUUAUGGGAGCUAUGUUCUUGAUUAUGAAUGGUGGUUUUGAUUACGAGAGUUGUGUCCUCGAUUGUGAAUUGCAGUUCUGAUUAAGGUAGUUGUGUGCUUGAUUAUGAAGGGUGGUUUUGAUUACAAGAGCUGUGUGCUCAAGUAUAAAUGGUGGUUUUGACUACAGGAACUGUGUGCUCAAUUAUGAAUGAUGGUUUUGACUACAGGAGCUAUGCACUUGAUUAUGAAUGAUGGAAACUCACAAUCUGUGUAAAUAGUGGCACUGUGUGUUCCGUGUCUUGUGUGAAUACUGGAAUUGUGUAUUCUCUUAAACUCAUAUUUUGUGUGAAUAUUAGAACUAUGUGUUGUCUUAAACUAGUAUUCUGUGUGAAUAUUGGAACUGUGGGUUCCCUAAAACUCGUAUUCUGUAUCAAUAUUGGAAUUGUGUUUCCUUGAA
This is a long non-coding RNA of Neltuma alba, 878 nucleotides long. RefSeq lists it as uncharacterized. The record is from RefSeq and is a predicted model, not a curated record. The transcript is spliced from 2 exons. Lineage: Eukaryota; Viridiplantae; Streptophyta; Magnoliopsida; Fabales; Fabaceae.